UGUAGAAGAUUGUACUCUGGUCUGUGCCUUAGUGAUCCAUCGGCAGAGUACCCUGUCACAAUGCUGACGCUCAAGCUCCUGACAACC
Gopherus evgoodei (Goodes thornscrub tortoise) is the source of this 87-nucleotide small nucleolar RNA. RefSeq annotates it as small nucleolar RNA SNORD71. The transcript has a single exon. NCBI's taxonomy places the organism in Eukaryota, Metazoa, Chordata, Testudines, Testudinidae. The record is from RefSeq and is a predicted model, not a curated record.